RNAcentral lists this ribosomal RNA (454 nucleotides) under uncultured bacterium. Its description in RNAcentral is "bacterial SSU rRNA". It matches the Rfam family "Bacterial small subunit ribosomal RNA", at positions 340 to 786 of the family's 1533-position model. The record is from RNAcentral.
UACGGGAGGCAGCAGUGGGGAAUAUUGCACAAUGGGCGCAAGCCUGAUGCAGCCAUGCCGCGUGUAUGAAGAAGGCCUUCGGGUUGUAAAGUACUUUCAGUCGUGAGGAAGGUGUUAAGGUUAAUAACCUUAGCAAUUGACGUUAGCGACAGAAGAAGCACCGGCUAACUCCGUGCCAGCAGCCGCGGUAAUACGGAGGGUGCGAGCGUUAAUCGGAAUUACUGGGCGUAAAGGGCACGCAGGCGGUUAAUUAAGUUGGAUGUGAAAUCCCCGGGCUUAACCUGGGAAUGGCAUUCAAGACUGGUUAGCUAGAGUCUUGUAGAGGGGGUAGAAUUCCAUGUGUAGCGGUGAAAUGCGUAGAGAUGUGGAGGAAUACCGGUGGCGAAGGCGGCCCCUGGGACAAAGGCUGACGCUCAUGUGCGAAAGCGUGGGGAGCAAACGAGGAUUAGAUACC